GAUGAACGCUGGCGGCGUGCCUAAUACAUGCAAGUCGAGCGAACAGACGAGGAGCUUGCUCCUCUGACGUUAGCGGCGGACGGGUGAGUAACACGUGGAUAACCUACCUAUAAGACUGGGAUAACUUCGGGAAACCGGAGCUAAUACCGGAUAAUAUAUUGAACCGCAUGGUUCAAUAGUGAAAGACGGUUUUGCUGUCACUUAUAGAUGGAUCCGCGCCGCAUUAGCUAGUUGGUAAGGUAACGGCUUACCAAGGCAACGAUGCGUAUCCGACCUGAGAGGGUGAUCGGCCACACUGGAACUGAGACACGGUCCAGACUCCUACGGGAGGCAGCAGUAGGGAAUCUUCCGCAAUGGGCGAAAGCCUGACGGAGCAACGCCGCGUGAGUGAUGAAGGUCUUCGGAUCGUAAAACUCUGUUAUUAGGGAAGAACAAAUGUGUAAGUAACUAUGCACGUCUUGACGGUACCUAAUCAGAAAGCCACGGCUAACUACGUA
This 497-nucleotide ribosomal RNA is filed under the name uncultured bacterium. RNAcentral's name for it is "partial 16S ribosomal RNA". It matches the Rfam family "Bacterial small subunit ribosomal RNA", at positions 28 to 507 of the family's 1533-position model. The record is from RNAcentral.